UUACGGCCAUAUUAUAUUGAAGCACCAGUUCCCGUAUGAUUAUCGAAGUUAAGCAACGUCGAGCCUGGUCAGAUGGGUGACCACUUGGGAAUACCAAGUACU
Acanthosepion pharaonis is the source of this 102-nucleotide non-coding RNA. The record is from the annotation of a GenBank genome assembly. Lineage: Eukaryota; Metazoa; Mollusca; Cephalopoda; Sepiida; Sepiidae.